GUAGGUGGCAAGCGUUGUCCGGAAUUAUUGGGCGUAAAGCGCGCGCAGGUGGUUCUUUAAGUCUGAUGUGAAAGCCCCCGGCUCAACCGGGGAGGGUCAUUGGAAACUGGGGAACUUGAGUGCAGGAGAGGAAAGUGGAAUUCCACGUGUAGCGGUGAAAUGCGUAGAUAUGUGGAGGAACACCAGUGGCGAAGGCGACUUUCUGGCCUGUAACUGACACUGAGGCGCGAAAGCGUGGGGAGCAAACAGGGAUUAGAUACCCUGGUAGUCCACGCCGUAAACGAUGAGUGCUAAGUGUUGGGGGGGUUUCCCGCCCCUCAGUGCUGCAGCUAACGCAUCAAGCACUCCGCCUGGGAGUACGGUCGCAAGACUG
This 373-nucleotide ribosomal RNA is filed under the name uncultured organism. RNAcentral's name for it is "partial 16S ribosomal RNA". It matches the Rfam family "Bacterial small subunit ribosomal RNA", at positions 527 to 896 of the family's 1533-position model. The record is from RNAcentral.